RNAcentral lists this ribosomal RNA (483 nucleotides) under Triticum aestivum (bread wheat). RNAcentral describes it as "partial small subunit ribosomal RNA". Lineage: Eukaryota; Viridiplantae; Streptophyta; Magnoliopsida; Poales; Poaceae. The record is from RNAcentral.
AUGGGGACGCGGGAGGUGUACGAGGAGAAGCUCCGCAGCGGCGCGCACCUCCACCGCGACCCCACCAUCAACCCCGGCCUCGGCUCCGCCCGCUGCCCCCGCUGCCUCUCCCUCCUCAACCCGACCACCAGCUCCGGAGGGCGCGACUGGGCCAUCACCUCCGUCCUGCACGACGCCACCGCCGUGACUGGUUCUGGCGCCGGGGCGAUGCUCAGUGCGGUGCACGGGUUUAAUACAGGGAUCCCGUUUGUCCAGAAGCAUGUGAAGGGGCCCAAGUGGCUGCACUUACUUGUUGGGGUCCCUCCUUUGAUCUUAUUCUCUGGUGCCAGUGCUUUAUUUGGGGCUUACGCGCUCCCAACGUUUGCCCAGCUCACUGUGACAUCCUACUAUGCCGCAUCAAGUGCCUCUCACUACGCAGUUUCACAGAUCACACGCCACAUCGAGAAGGCCCAUUUAUCUGGCGCUCCUGACGAGAAGUCUUGA